Oncorhynchus tshawytscha (Chinook salmon) is the source of this 1239-nucleotide long non-coding RNA. The record is from Ensembl. Lineage: Eukaryota; Metazoa; Chordata; Actinopteri; Salmoniformes; Salmonidae.
CCUGGACAUUUUGUCUACAAUAAGAGGGAAAUCAGAAAGGAUAAUAAGAAUUGGGUAGAGGGGGGGAGAUAGGGAAAGAGAGAGAGAGAGCAAGAGACAGAGACACAAAGAGUGCAACAGAGAAAGUCUACAAGCGGUACCUGGUUUAUCCGGUAAUACACUAACUUCAAUUAAGUCAAUUCUGGACGUCUCUUCACAAAGUGCCUCACCCUGAUUGGCCAAAAGUCAUGUCACACAUCACCAGCUGAUUUGCAUAGCAGGUGGGGCCACCCACCCGCAAUCCAUGAUUGGCUCCGAAGUUUAUACUAGGGGCCUCAAGGUUUGCCAUAGUUCUGUUUUUCUUAUUCCCUAAAAGUUCAUUAAUUGAUUGGUUGAUUGAUAGACUAAUCGAUCAAUCAGUUGAUAGAUUAAAGUGGUAUAUCGGCUAUUAGUAUUCCAGGCCUGAAUCAUUCCCUGAUUAGAGGGGAAGGAUGAUGAUGAUGUUGAAGGGUAUUACUGUACUGUUACGCAUUCACACACACACACGCACCCACACACCUUUUCUCAGUGUCAAUAGUGGUGUUGCUGGUGUUAUGCCUGGGUGAGUGUGUGUGUUAGAAUGUGACCUAUGUUGAUCUCUUUUCCAUCUAUACAUUGGCUGGCCUCCAACAAACUUCACACAUUCAGCAGCAAUGUUUCCAAACACUAAGGCCAGAUCCCUUCCUUUCCUUGUCUCCUUUCCUUGUCUCCACCACAGAUCUGAAAGACCACACCAUAUGAACACAAUAUGAUGGAACUCUAUCAACCUACCAGGUCUCUCACAUCUCAGUCAUAACAAAGGAAAGGUAACAACCUUAACCAGCAGUAUUACAAUAUUGGGAUACUGUCUAAAUCAUACCAUGGACACUGGCAGGAGAGGCCACUGAAAACCAAACACACACUAAUGUACACAGAAGCCUUUAGUCUUGGCACGGUGCAUUCUGCACAUCAGCCAGCAGAGGGCAAUAUUUAACUCAACCAGCUAAAGGAAUGAUUGGCAGACCCCCAUGGACACUGGCAGGAGAGACCACUGAAAACCAAACACACACUAACUUACACAGAAGCCUUUAGUCUUGGCACGGUGCAUUCUGCACAUCAUAUGAGGUAAAGAAAGAUGAACAUUUGAAUGCUGAUUCUGUAUCUUAAAAGACAAUUAAUCUCCGUUGCAAGUUUCUAUUGGACCAAUAUACAAUAUAUGUUCACAUCAUGGCAAGACAAAAG